AACUUACGCCUUUUACUGGGCGAACAGCCCGCUGGCCAGCAUCCCUCUCCGCACGCACGCUCUGGGCCCGCCCCCUGCCACUUCAUUGGUCAACUCACCCGUCCAUCACGCACCCACCACUGAAACAAAGGCGCCAAAGAUUCCAAUCCCCUCGGUGCAAUCAGCGAAGGUUUCGAUUGCGUCCGGCUCCCCCAUUGGCCGGGCUUCUUCCCUUCAGACGAGCCUUUCCCCGGAGCCGCCACGGAAGAGACCCGUCGUCUCGGUGGCGGAGGCGCGGGGCAUCCUGGGAAUUGUAGUGCUCAGAGAGGCGGAAGAAGGAGCGGGAAACGCCUCACGAGCUGCCGAGUUAGGCCUGAGGUUUCGCGGGUGUCCGGCCACGGCCCCCCCAGCCCACAGCCGACUGCUGCAGGCCUGAGGAAUGCCACUCGGUGCCACAUUCGCACACAGGCCCCAAGAACCCCACUGGUCCUGAAUGGAGUUCCACCUUCUCUCCAGAAACUCCUUGGACCUUUUCGGGAGACAGACACCUCUUCACCUGUGAUAUCUUAGUUUGUCACCCCCUCCCCACAGAAGACCCAGGGCUGAGAAAAGUAGAGUUUCUAUGGAGUGGCACCUGACACCAGCUUCUCUGAGACUCCCUGGCGUGGACAUCCCUGAAGCCAAUUAUUUCUCUCUUUAGAGAAUAAUAUGUAAACUUCAACUAUCUGAUUUA
Molecule: non-coding RNA, 712 nt
Organism: Ictidomys tridecemlineatus (thirteen-lined ground squirrel)
Lineage: Eukaryota; Metazoa; Chordata; Mammalia; Rodentia; Sciuridae
Source: RefSeq, a predicted model, not a curated record